Molecule: long non-coding RNA, 21666 nt
Filed under: Lupinus angustifolius (narrow-leaved blue lupine)
Lineage: Eukaryota; Viridiplantae; Streptophyta; Magnoliopsida; Fabales; Fabaceae
Description: long non-coding RNA (LANG_LNC001287)
Source: RNAcentral
CCCUGAACUUUGUUUUAAAGAUUAGAUUAAGGAAUGAAUUCGUCUCACAGGAUUGUAAGAGUCAAAGCGUGAGUGCUCACAUUUUUAUAUGAAGGACAAUCUAUACCCGUCAAUCCCUGGUUUUAAUAUGGCAAGAAAAAUAAUAGAGUACCUGCAUAUUCAAAAUAGAAAGUCAAGUUCAAGAUCUUUAAGUGGAAAAUUGUCUCACUGGGAGAACAAUCUUAAUUUCCAUUUAAUCCCAAAUAUCUGUUAGUUGUUUAAGUUUGAAAAUAAGCUUGUCAAUUUUGCUGAAAAUAAUACAUUUUAUGUUCUGGUUGGCGAUUCUAAUGUGAGACCAAAGAUAGUCGGCAAUCAAUAUGGAGAAGGCCCAUCCUUUGUGCUUGUCUAUAUCUCAUCUCGUUGAAGAUGUUGAAGCAUGCCUAAAUUUUGGUGGAAUAACAAAAAGUCAGCGUAAAUCAAGUUAAGGAUUCUGAUGGUGUGCAAACAUCAAAGGAACAUCAUUCUAAUAGGAGAAGCAAUAGUGAUCUGCAUCUGGCUUUUAAUGGUGAAGAUAAGACAAAAUCUGCAUCAAUCUGACAGGCCUUUGACAAGGAUGGUGAUGUCGCUUUAAUGGGACUCACCUACAACACAAGGAAAGCCCACAUUAGAUCAUUUGGUGCCCCAUAUGGCAAAGAAGACAACACAGUCAUAUCAAUUGAUGAUUCCUAUGAUAAAGAAGACAUAAAAAUAAUUUCUUUUGAUGGUUUCCCAGAUGAAAAAGGAUGUUAACCCUGUGGGGAGGCCUGACAUAGACUUCAUUCAAUUUUUAUAAUCAAUCUUCAGUUCAUGUGUCAAUACCUUAUGAGAAAGAGAUAGAUGCUUCUAAUGUUGACUAAAUAAAGUUUAAAACCGUGUCCAAGAAUAAGCAAAAGUUCAAAACAACAUGCUUCAACUCAAUUAGUUAUAAGGUGUCGACCUCUUAUACACCACCCUGCACUGGUAAUGGAAUAGUAUUCAUUUUGUUGCAUGAGAAAUAAGAUAUUCAUCGCAAAACAGAAACGAUAAAUAGUGGUACCUGAGCAAUAUGCUUAACAGAGAUCAGUUUAAUCAUUACAAAUGAUGCAUACCAUCCUUGCUUUAGACCAGAAUAUUUCCAAGAGCCCUUCGGCAUCAUCAUCAAUAUAAAAGAGGGUAUCCAUGGGCAGCCCAACAUCAGAACAAAAAGGGAAAUCCAAUCAGGAAUGGACUAUCAGUUAAUAAAAGGCUGUAAAGAGAUGGCAUCAGGAAUGGCCUAUGCUGUUACAGAUUUCAAAUAAAAUCNNNNNNNNNNNNNNNNNNNNNNNNNNNNNNNNNNNNNNNNNNNNNNNNNNNNNNNNNNNNNNNNNNNNNNNNNNNNNNNNNNNNNNNNNNNNNNNNNNNNCAAUUUUUGUCCUACCCAAUUUCGCAGUCUCCUUGCAUCGGUUGACUCAUAAGAAUUUUCCCUGAUCAGUAGACAUUCAAUUUGUUAAGAGUUUAUCAUCUUGUAUGUUCAUUAUUUUUUUUUGUGUGCUCAUCAGACCGAUCAUAAGUCUUGUAAUGUUUAAAGUGCAAGCACGUUACCCAUGAUUAAGUUGAUCUAGGUAAUGAUUUUUAACACAAGCCUUAGACAAAAGAUGUGAAGAUCUUAAAUAUGAUUUUUAUGAAGAACUUGUAAUUCACAGAUUCCCUGAACUUUGUUUUAAAGAUUAGAUUAAGGAAUGAAUUCGUCUCACAGGAUUGUAAGAGUCAAAGCGUGAGUGCUCACAUUUUUAUAUGAAGGACAAUCUAUACCCGUCAAUCCUUGGUCUUAAUAUGGCAAGAAAAAUAAUAGAGUACCUGCAUAUUCAAAAUAGAAAGUCAAGUUCAAGAUCUUUAAGUGGAAAAUUGUCUCACUGGGAGAACAAUCCUAAUUUCCAUUUAAUCCCAAAUAUCUGUCAGUUGUUUAAGUUUGAAAAUAAGCUUGUUAGUUUUGCUGAAAAUAAUACAUUUUAUGUUCUGGUUUGCGAUUCUAAUGUGAGACCAAAGAUAGUCGGCAAUCAAUAUGGAGAAGGCCCAUCCUUUGUGCUUGUCUAUAUCUCAUCUCGUUGAAGAUGUUGAAGCAUGCCUAAAUUUUGGUGGAAUAACAAAAAGUCAGCGUAAAUCAAGUUAAGGAUUCUGAUGGUGUGCAAACAUCAAAGGAACAUCAUUCUAAUAGGAGAAGCAAUAGUGAUCUGCAUCUGGCUUUUAAUGGUGAAGAUAAGACAAAAUCUGCAUCAAUCUGACAGGCCUUUGACAAGGAUGGUGAUGUCGCUUUAAUGGGACUCACCUACAACACAAGGAAAGCCCACAUUAGAUCAUUUGGUGCCCCAUAUGGCAAAGAAGACAACACAGUCAUAUCAAUUGAUGAUUCCUAUGAUAAAGAAGACAUAAAAAUAAUUUCUUUUGAUGGUUUCCCAGAUGAAAAAGGAUGUUAACCCUGUGGGGAGGCCUGACAUAGACUUCAUUCAAUUUUUAUAAUCAAUCUUCAGUUCAUGUGUCAAUACCUUAUGAGAAAGAGAUAGAUGCUUCUAAUGUUGACUAAAUAAAGUUUAAAACCGUGUCCAAGAAUAAGCAAAAGUUCAAAACAACAUGCUUCAACUCAAUUAGUUAUAAGGUGUCGACCUCUUAUACACCACCCUGCACUGGUAAUGGAAUAGUAUCCAGUUUUUUACAUGAGAAAUAAGGUAUUCAUCGCAAAACAGAAACGAUAAAUAGUGGUACCUGAGCAAUAUGCUUAACAGAGAUCAGUUUAAUCAUUACAAAUGAUGCAUACCAUCCUUGCUUUAGACCAGAAUAUUUCCAAGAGCCCUUCGGCAUCAUCAUCAAUAUAAAAGAGGGUAUCCAUGGGCAGCCCAACAUCAGAACAAAAAGGGAAAUCAAUCAGGGAGUUAGGCCAAACACUAGAUAGAGGACAUUAAGCUAAUAAAAGGCUGUAAAGAGAUGGCAUCAGGAAUGGCCUAUGCUGUUACAUAUUUCAAAUAGAAUCAUUAAGCCAAUCCAGCCAUGGACUAUCAGUUAAUAAAAUCUCAUAGGACAGCACUAAGCAGAAGUAAUUCGAAAUUAUUAUCCUCCAGUUACACUUUGAGGCAUUAAUGCAAUGAUAUUAGAGGAAAAUAAAAUGCUAUCGACAGUAAGGGCAUCAAUCAACAAAAUUUCAAAAGGGCUGCACUAAACAGUUACAUUCUGAAGUAAUAACAGAGCAAUAAAGUAUGAAAUUCAAAUCAGUCGGGGGUUACAAAUCAGUGUAGAAAAACAGUAAGGUACUAAGGCAAAGGGAAAUACAAUCAGCCGUGAAUAAUAUCCAGAGAGCAGUUUAGAGCAUUAAUAUUUUAAUUACGGUCAUCAUUAGCAAAUUAUAAAUAGCUCGACAGUUAUCACAUAGUCCUAAUCAGCAUUCAUGGGCAGUUAAAGUAUUGAAAUCAGAAAGCAAAAUUCAUGGGAUUUCAAAAGGGGCAGUUUCAGUCAGUAACUCAAAAAAAGCAAAAAAAGCAAAAGAGAAAGAAUACAAAAAAGAAAGAAAAGCAUUGCAACAGUGAUAAAAAGAGAACAAAUCAGAAAAAUUAGAGAGGAUAACAAGUGAAAAACAUGGAGCAUUCUAGAGAGAAAGGCAGAAAUAUAAACAGAGAGACUGACAUUCAAGCAAAGUCAACUUGUUAUCCGAUGCAAACCGUAGUACGAGUAGUAACCAGAACCGGGAACCACCGUGAAGGUUCGGGUCCCGCCGAUGAAAACCGCACUCGAUCCUUUCCUCGCCCUUAAUAAGCCUCUACGAGGACAGGAAGUUAUAAAAAUGAUAAAAAAUGUAUAAUAAUAGAACAAAGAAGCAAAUGGAGAAGUAAGAGGAGACGAGUGAUGAAAACCAAAGAGAUUAGGAAGGAAUGAGGACCUUUUUUCGGCCGUGAAUGAGAACCGAACCACCGUAAGCCCCGAUGAUUCUUAAUCACCGCUAUCGCAACGCUUCAAGCCGAGUCAUCACCGAAGAAGAGAAAAGAGGGAGAUUUCGUUCGAUGCAUCUUGAAGAGAAAGGGAUUCUCUUCGUCGAUCCCCUCCAACACGGGCUGGAAGGCUUCCUCCAGCUAAAUCCGUGAGCCAUCGUGCUCCUCCGCGCCGAUGAAGGUGGAGCGAUGCAAGAAGGAGGAGUUGGCAAUUAGGGAUUUUAUUCCCAUUUCCCUUUCUGCUGGAUUCCAUGGGUUUGGGGGUGAAAGGGGUUCACCCCUUUUAAUUAUUCCCAUCUCAUUUAACUCCUUUUCUUUAUUUACUCUUUGGUUGAUUUUUUUUUAUUUUUCAUUAUUCCAUCUAUGCAAUUUAAAAUGAAAUGAACAUUAAUUUAUAUGCUGCAUAUCUCAUAACUUUUAUAAUGAUUGCGUAUUCCAACUUUAAGCAACAAGCUAUUUUAUCACUAAAUUCAACCAUCAAUUCCAUAUAAACUAUUUUAUUUAAUAAGACUAUUUUGCUACUAAACUCUAUAUGUAUAAAUAAUAAGAUACACCAACACCGUCUCUAAACUAUUAAUUCUAUAUGUAUAAUUAAUAAUCACCUAAAUUCUAUAUGUACGAAUAAUUAGAAACUAUAUUAUCAAAUUAAUCAUAGAAUUUUUAUAGUAAGGUUAUGGCUCGAGUUGUCUCUAACUUCUCUAAGAAUGAGAAGAAGGUCUACAACCAACACCGUCUCUAAACUAUUAAUUCUAUAUGUAUAAUUAAUAAGCUAUUUUAUUACUAAAAUCAUAUAUCUAUAAAUAAUUAGAAACUAUUAUACUAAAUAAAUUUUAUGGGUUUUUUAGUAAGGUUACGGCUAUUAAUCAUGUAUAUAGAAAAUAAUUCUCCGGCCUAUUUUGCUACCUAAUUCUAAAAAUAACCCAAUAUUAUUUUAGCGAAUAAAUUGGGAUUUUUAUAGUGAGGUUACGGUUCGAGUCGUCUCUAACUCCCUGGAAAUAAGGAGAAGGUCUACGACCAACACCGUUCCUGAACUAUUAGUCUCAUUGAACCAAAAAAAUUAUAUAUUAACAAACUCAAUAAGCUAAUACCUCUAAAACCUAUCGGUAUUUUCCAAAUCAUUAACAAUCAACCAAAGUAGAAGCAAUUAUUUGAAAUAGAACUACGUAAGCCUUGAUCCCCUUAAUAGGGGUACGUAGGACCAAAGUCAAUAUUGUCAGGCUCAAUAAUAAAGAUAAAUAAUUCUAAAUAAAUAAUUGUUAAGGGUAUAAAAGUCUAUGUUAUUAGCGAAUACGGGCGGACGGGGUGCUAAUACCUUCCCCGAUCUGUAAUCGACUCCCGAAUUCAGAAUCUCUAUCUAAAGACCAUUUUAUCCUAAUUGGGCUUACUAUAGAGUUUUCUACGUUUUAACCGCAAAAAACGUAGUGGCGACUCCAAAUCAAUUGGGAGAGGUAGAAAUCGGGUUCACUUCUCUCCAAGUCGUAGAGCCGGUCUUCCAACCGAAAAGCGGGUCGCGACAGUUGGCGACUCCACUGGGGACAUCCUAUAAGAGAGUCAGGCCUUGAACCGCUAAUAACAAGAACUCAAGUACCCUUUUAUUUUUUGUUUGAGUCUUGUUUUUCUUAGGAAUGAAUUAUUAUCUUGAAUUACCUUUGUUGUAUGAUAUGCGAGUUCACGUGUUUGUUUUGCAGCUUAUUGGGGGGUGGGGAACUUCCUACAAAAGGUUUGUAUGCUUCCUCACACACUCACGAGAGUCAACAUGUACCUAUACCCUGAGCCCGGGUAUUAGUGAUUAAGAUCUAAGAUAGAAGGGACAUCUGCUUUGCCGGUAAGUGACCUCGAGUCGCAUCUGGUAUUGGUGGAAUGAACCACCCAGAUCGUUUCUGGUAUUAUGAGUUAAAGGCUUGGAGGGCUCGAUCCUUCUCAUUUUUAACCUAUGAUACCUGGUCUCCUUAAUUUCGGGAUUGGGUGCGAUCUGGUGACCUAGAAGUCUAGAGCUUUACCAAGUCCACUCUAAACAAAAUCUAGUAUCCUCACCUUAGGACGUAACCUAUAAACAUUCCAAGAAUCCCUUGUAAGACGUACCUUAUUUAGGACACAGGAAGCAAACAAUUUCUACUCUUUAUUAUUUACAAUCAUAAAAGUGGGGCGUAGGCCGUAAAUGGCCAGUUCCUUCAACAUCCCCACCAGAGGGCCCAAUGCCCUACGGGAUGCAUUUCAUACACACCCGUUGAUGGGUGCAAACACCCUAAAGACGUAAUUUAUGUUAUAUCAGACUAAUCGAGGUUAUUUCAUUUAAUCCCAUGCUGCAAUUAGUCCCAUUAAUGCGCUCGAGGCCCUAGGGACAAGUUUAUAUCACCAUGUUAUGAAAACAUAAUAUAAUAAAAUCAAGAUUUUACUGCCCCCAUAUAAGGACCAGCAUCCUAGGGGGUAUACAUCAUGCACAUCAUUCAUUCAUGCAUUCAUCCAUGCAUUCUUUAUCUCAUUUAUUUAACACCUUUACGAUUGUCACGCCUUUUGCAGAUUACUUUGUCGAAGAGAAACUGGUAUAGUAAGACAUGGAGACUGAUUCUCAAGUUGUGGGUUCUGUCAGCACUCUAUCAGUGAAAAAAGGAGUGAGGGUAGAAUUACAAGUUAUGGAUGUAAGCUUCCUAGCAGAUCUUGUCCCCAAGAUCCCUCAAGAGGUUCAAGACCAGCUGGCAAGAGAAUAUGGAAGGUUGUCUGACUUGGUCCUCAUCACGGUUGAUAUAGAAACAUUAAAGGGCAUGAAAGACAUGAUCCAGUACUGGAACACUGCUCUACACAUCUUCGAAUUCCCAAAUAUUGAUGCAUCCCCGACUGUGGAGGAGUAUGAGGUCCUACUCGAUAUCGGCUCUUCCAUCACAGAUAUCGAGCUAUCAAACAGGCUAAAGCUGUAUCAGUAUAACGGUACUCAGAAUGUUACAGAAGAGUAUAUCGAGGGGCUGAUCGGGAUGCAUCCCUUGUUCUGGGCAGAGUUACGGCUUUCUGUUUUUGCUUCGAAUGAUAUGGGGCCUAGGUUGCCCAAUAUUUGGGGUCUUUGCAAUGAAAAAACAUCUUGCCGAAAUGGUGGAACAAGGAAAUUGGGAGCUAUUCAAACCCGCUUUUGCUCUAGCAGUAUAUGGUAUGGUCCUAUUCCCUUUCGUUUAUGAUAUGGUAGACCAAGCGACGAUCGAUGUCUUCGCCAAAGUCAAGAGGUUCAGAGUUAACCCCGUUCCAGCAAUAGUCGCAUAAAUUCUCUUAUCUUUCCAAAGGUGUCAUGAAAAAGGCUACCACAAGGUCCGUUGUUGUGUACAUUUACUCUAUGUGUGGAUGAUUACUCGGUUUGCGCAUCACCAAUAUCCAGAUUGGAGCAGGUACCCCCUGCGCCGGUUCAGAAAUAUUGCAAUUAAACCUAUGCAACUGGCGGAUUGGAAGAAACUGUUCAAAGAGGUAACCCCUAGGAAUUUUGGAACAAAGUGUUGCUUAUAUGACAAACAUCAGGCAGUGAUGUACUCAUGUGGAGACUUUCCGAACAUGAUGUUGAUGGGCCCCCGAGGAUGCAUCUCUUUCACCCCAGCCUCAGUACUGGGACAACUGAAAUGGGGGAUGAAUCCGGUACCUCAAGAAAAGUUGCAGGGGAUCACAGUCUGGUAUAGGGACGAGGGAACUACCCGAGAAGUUCUCACAUCUGUUGGGAACGCUCUGAGGAGUAUCCGUCUCUGUGGGAAGAAUGAGCUUGGAGAACACCAAGCCUAUUACACUGAAGAGUACAAAUGCUGGAGGAAUGAAAGGACGAAAUAUGUUAUGUUGCCACCAUCUGAGUCAUCAAAAGAACCGAUCGGGCCAUCCCAUAACGAACUACUACUCGUUAGUCAGAACAAACUUCUGGAAUCAGAGUUGGAAGAGGCCCGAGAUGAAGUAGAGAAAUAAAAAUUGAUGGUGGAGAAGCUUAACAAACCAUCGCUGCACAGAAGAAGGAGGAAGUCAGCUUGAAGCGAGACUAUGCCAGCAUGUGCUCUUCAUCCGACAAAUUCCGCCUGAUCCGAGCUGGCAAAGAAAAAGACAAAAAAAUAACAGAAUUGAUCAGGUCAGAGAAAGAAAAAGAUGAACAGAUAGCCGACAUGGUUGAUCAACUGAAGGCUCGAGGGCGAGCCCUACAUACUACUUAAAGGGAUGUUCACAUGCUGAAAGCAAAAAUAGAGAAUAUGCAUGCCAACCGAAGAGAUGGGAGCCAAACGGGGGCUAUCUUAAAAGAGUAUCAGGAAGCCUUGAUGCGAGCCAGGGAAAGAGAGGAUCAACUGAAUGUUGCGUUGGAUGCUCGUUUCCAAGCAUUGGCUGAAGCAAAUCACGAUAAAACCCAUCUUUCUGAACGAAUGAAGGACCUUGAGGAAGCCUACAAUGAGUUAAAUGCCAAACAUCAUGAGUGGUCACACAACUGGGAGAAUAUGCUCCAGGAGUGUAAAUGGGACAAGGAGAAAUGGGAAGGAAGAUGCAGGCAAAUCAUCGAGGGUCUUGGGGACUUUGCUGAUGAUUGGUUGAGAAACUUUGAUGAUGCCCGCCAGGAGGUGGAAAUGUACCCUGAUACNNNNNNNNNNNNNNNNNNNNNNNNNNNNNNNNNNNNNNNNNNNNNNNNNNNNNNNNNNNNNNNNNNNNNNNNNNNNNNNNNNNNNNNNNNNNNNNNNNNNUGCUGCAUCUGGAGAAUAUUGAGCAUUUUAUGUUUUUCUUCUCCUUUGUUAAAAAUAAAAAGAAAGAGAGAAUCAUAAAGGAAAAUUGUAGUCCUACUAUGAAUAUGAAUAAAAAAUUUCUCCUUUUCUCAGAGUUUAUCCAAGUUGUUAUCUAUACAAGUAUCAUAAGGGCUCAUCAUCUUAUCUAAUAUGCAAGUAAAAAAUUCGUGACAGAGUAAAAACAUCUUGUAAUUAGACACAAUCUUGGUCUGAAGCCUAGAGUUUCUUCUAACGAUUGGUAUCAAAUGUAAACGGUCUUGCGGACUACGCUCCCAAGAUUACCAAAUACAUGACAAGAUGUUUAAUGAUAGUGAUCCACAAUGAGAGAAUAAGCCUAGAUGUAAGCAAGGUCCGAAGCCUAGAGCUUCCUCUGAGUAUUGUUAUCAACACAAGAGAAACUAUUGGGGUGCGCCUCGUAGUCAGCAAAUGCCGGUCAAGAUGUCUUACUAUACCAAGCCUCUCGAAGACAAAGAAAUCAUUUUGCUUUCAUUUUUAUCAUUUAUUUUUCAAAUUUUUAUUUUUCAAAAAUUUAUUUUUCAAAUUUUUAUUUUUCCAAUAACUCAGGUUCUGUAAUCAUUGCACACCAACAUCCUUACAAUACCCGAUCAAAAACAAAGACCAUGGCCGACCAGGAAGCUACUACUGGAGGGAAUCCCGAGGUGAUUGAGCUGAAAGAGCAAAUAGCACUGAUGAUGAGAAUGAUGGUAGCCAUGCAGCAAGAAAUGGCAUCUGGGAAUUCUUCUGUAGCAGAUAAGCGGGCCCAAUCCGCACGUAAUGCCAAUGAAGGGGGGCACAACCAACAGUCUGCCUCUAAGCAUUAGGGUGCAUCACAAGGACAUACCUCGUCAAACAAAGAGAACUCACAACACACCAACCAACAUGACUCGGAUGACGAUCCUAACUACCACGCUCCCAAGAAUGAUAAAAGCACUGCAGGACAUCAAGCUAGUAAAGACACAAACGCGAUGAUAAAGGGAAGGGGAAGGAGGAUGAAAUGUGGGACGUCAUUAAUGAAAGGCUUAAAGCUGUGGAAGGGGCUAACUGUCCCGAUUUAAAGAACGCUUUUGAAAUGUGUCUGGUCCCAGAUGUCGUUCUUCCUCCUAAGUUCAAGGUUCUCGAAUUCGAAAAGUAUGACGGGACUACAUGCCCGAAAAGCCAUCUUCAUAUGUACGCCCGGAAAAUGUCAGCGUACCAUAAUGAUGAUAAGCUGCUGAUUCAUUGCUUUCAAGAUAGCCUUGUGGGGAUCGCCACUUUGUGGUACAUCCGCCUCGAAAGCAAGCACAUUAAGACCUUCCUGGAUCUUUCCAAUGCCUUCAUAAGGCAGUACAAAUUCAAUGAGGACUCUGCGCCGGACCGCAACAAGCUUCAAAGCAUGUCGAAACCGGCAAGUGAAUCAUUCAGGGAAUAUGCACAGAGAUGGAGAGGAGUGGCCUCACAAGUCUUACCCCGUCUGGAGGAAGAAGAGCAGAUCACUAUCUUCAUCAAUACUCUCCCUAACCCUUUCUUCGACAAGAUGAUUGGGAAUAAUACAUGUGAUUUCAAUUCAUUGAUUAGAGUAGGAGACAGAAUUGAGCAAAACAUGAAAACUGGAAAGAUUGCCGCCGAACAAACCGGAGAGCCCAAAAGGCCCAACUACAUGAAAAAAAGAAACUGAAGCCCACUACAUAGCCGGAGAACCCCAAAAGAUGUCAAACAAGAUAAACAACAAUCCCUGUUCAUAUACACACCGCCCUCAACACAACCAAACACCAUACCAACCGAGCUCGCAAAACACAUACCAGAUCCCAUACCAACCAAUAGCCUACAUUAACCACAACCGCCCACCACUUCAACAAAACACAACCUUUCAAUACAACCAACCACAACCAAACCUCUAUCAACCCCGACCACCUAGGCCCAACUAUCAACCAAAUAACCAAGCCCAAAACCAUCAUCCACCCGCGCAAUACCAAACUCAGGAAAGAAGGACUUUCGACCCUAUCCCUAUGACCUAUGCCGAACUAUUCGCCACCUUACAAACAGAGCGCAUCCUAGCACCCAUUCUAGGAAGAGUCCCAAAUACUAUGGCCGCAUGGUACAACCCCAAUGUCAAUUGUGCUUACCAUUCGGGAGUAGUGGGGCAUUCAAUCGAAACUUGUAAGGCAUUAAAACACAGAGUGCAGGAUCUUAUCGAUUCCGGAUGAUUGAAAUUCAAAGACGAUGUUCCCACCAUCACAAACAACCCUUUGCCCAAUCAUGGGAACCAGGGGGUGAAUGUCUUAGAGUGGGAUGAGGCAGACACUAUUAUUGACAGGGUGGAAGACAUAAAGACACCCCUAAAGAUCAUAUUUUUGGAGAUGUGCAAAAGAGGUCUGGUGAAGUGUACGCAAGAUGGUCAACAUGAAGGUGACGUUUGCAUGCUACAUGGGACUACAUACCAUAACAUAGAAGAAUGUUCCAAGUUCAGGUCAUUGAUACAAGAAUUAUUGGACUCCCAGUUGUUGAGGAUCGGGAGGCGAAAUGAAUGUUCUGACAUAUGUGUCAUUGAAAAAGACGAGGAAAGUCCGAGUCCGGUCAUUAUAAGGUAGUUUGUACCAGUAUUCAACAUACCUACUAGCACACCAUCAUAUGCAGCUCCGCCCCGAUGGGCGCCUCAUUUGAGAAAUAUGGGACAUGAGAUAGCAAGACAACCGAGCCCAUUCCCAUAUCAAUCAGACAGAGCCGUCCCUUGGAAGUAUCGAGAGGAAGCCGGAAAAAUGCCAGUUCCAACAAAUGAAGUUGUCCACUUGGCCGGGGUGGGAAAUAUGACAAGGAGCGGAAGGGUUUAUAGCCCCGUUGAGAUAGCCAGUAAAGUCAUCAAUGCGUCUAAAGGCAAAGAAAAAGUUGAUAAGCCAGUAGAUACCAGUUCUGGAGCGGCCCGGGUUGAGAUCCCUCCAUUUGAUGUUGAAAGAGAAGUCACAGAUGAUGAAGCUUGUGAGUUCUUAUGAUUCAUCGGGCAAAGCGAGUAUCAAAUAGUUGACCAGUUGAGUCGCACUCCAGCCAAGGUAUCAUUGUUGUCUUUACUGAUGAAUUCAGAAGCUCACAGAAAGGUCCUACUGAAAGUGCUGAACCAGGCCCAUGUCGACCAUGAUAUAAGUACUAGCAAAUUAGAUGGUAUCGUCAAUAAUAUCAUGGUCGAUAACUUUAUCUCCUUCAGCAAUGAGGAAAUACCGAGUGAAGGAACAGGGCACACCCGUCCUCUCCACAUCUCCAUCAUGUACACAGAUUUUGUAAUAGGAAGGGUGUUGAUAGACAAUGGUGCAUCGCUCAAUGUGAUAACCAAGAGAACAUCGUCUAAAUUACGAGUGGACGAGUCAGCCAUAAAACCAAGUUCAACAGUUGUUCGAGCCUUCGAUGGAGCCCGAAGGGAUGUGCUGGGAGAAAUCGAGCUACCUGUGAAGAUUGGGCCGUGUACUUUCCAGAUCCUAUUUCAGUUCAUGGAUAUCAAUCCGUCGUUCAGCUGUCUAUUGGGAAGGCCAUGGAUCCAUUUCAUCGACGCUAUACCUUCCUCAUUGCAUCAAAAGGUGAAGUUUAUCGCGGGGGGCAAGUUGAUAACCAUCAUGGGUGAAGAAGACAUUCUGGUGUCUCAGCUUAGUGAUACCCCAUACAUAGAAGCUGACACUGAAGCUUUAGAGUCUUCUUUCCGGGCGUUAGAGAUUGCAAGUGCUUCUUCCAAUAGGAGAGGACAUCCUAAACUCAAUCUGCCACCCUCUAAUGUCUCCAUUAACAUGGCGAGGGUCAUGCUAAAGAAAGGAUUCCAGCCAGGAAAAGGUUUAGGGAGAUAUGGUCAGGGAAUUGAAAACACCACAACCCUCCCAAUUAAUAAUGGUCGAUAUGGAUUGGGCUAUAAACCCAGCAAAGCUGAUGAGGACCGACUGGCAGAGGAAAAGAAGAGGAGUACUACUCGUGCGGGGCGUUACAGAAAUGAUAGCAGAAGGAUUCCCAUCCCCCACAUCAGUCAGAGUUUUGUGAGUGCAGGCUUCCCAGAACAGAAACUGAUUGCAAUGAUGAGUGAAGACCAGCCAGAUGAUGAUUUCAGUCAGGUGUACUAGUGCCCUCCAGGCAUGAUCUUGGACAAUUGGACCAUAAAGGAUGUUGCUAGCUGUAUUUAUGGGCCAAUGUAAUUAAAAAUGUUUUAACAUUUAUAAACUUUUUUGGUCACCAUUUGCCUAGCCCUGGGCAUUUGGAUCUCGUGUUAAUAAGGGCAUGUUUUUACUUUCAUCAGUGUGAUUUCUAAUAAAACAAACCAUCGCAUUUCAUUCCAUUUCUUGAACAAUUUUAUAUUGCACUUUCUGCCUAAACAAAUCAAUAAAUUAACCUGAUAUAAACCAAUAAACCAUAAUGCAGAUCUGACAUCGAAUCUAUAUCUAAUGCCAUCAUUAACAAUCACUUGCCAAAUUUUGAUCACCCGAUAAAUCAAGCAGAGGGAUGUGACAGUGACGAAGGCUGCGAAGCGUCACCGGAAUUGCGGAGAUUAGUCAAACAAGAAGGCCAAGAAAUUCAGCCUCAUGGGGAACCCGUCGAGUUGGUGAAUCUAGGUUCAGAGGAAGAAAAGAAGGAGGUUCGGAUAGGCACAAUCAUGGAUAGCACUGAGCAAGAAAAACUCAUUGCGCUUCUACAUGAAUACAAGGAUGUAUUCGCUUGGUCAUAUGAGGAGAUGCCAGGUCUAGAUCGGAAUUUAGUGGAACACAAACUACCGCUACAAGAAGACUCUAAACCGGUAAAACAAAAACUACGAAGGAUGAGGCCAGACAUAUCCUUAAGAGUCAAAGAGGAAGUGGAAAAAUGGUUGGAAGCCAAAUUCGUGACAGUCUCUACAUACCCCAAAUGGGUGGCCAACAUAGUUGCAGUGCCAAAGAAAGGAGGGAAACUCCGGAUAUGUGUUGACUAUAGAGACCUUAAUCGGGCAAGUCCAAAGGAUGACUUCCCUGUGCCACACCUCGAUGUUCUAGUCGAUAGUACAGCCGAUCAUGCUUUAUUCUCAUUCAUGGACGGAUACUCCGGGUACCACCAGAUUAAGAUGGCUCCGGAAGAUAUAGAUAAAACAACCUUCAUUACCCCAUGGGGUACCUUCCGCUAUCUCGUGAUGCCAUUCGGGUUAAAAAAUGCUAUGGCCACCUAUCAAAGGGCCAUGAUUGCCAUUUUUCAUGAUAUGAUGCACAAGGAGAUCGAGGUCUAUGUCGACGAUAUCAUUUGCAAAUCCAAAUCGGAAGAGGAGCAUGUCCCCAAUCUGCGAAAGCUCUUUGAGAGGUUACGAAAGUAUCAGCUCAAAUUGAACCCAGCUAAAUGCAGCUUCGGAGUGAAAUCUGGCAAAGUCUUGGGCUUCAUUGUUAGUCAGAAAGGCAUAGAGGUUGAUCCUGAAAAAAUCAGAGCCAUCGCCGAGAUGCUAGCCCCUAAGACAGAGAAAGAAGUUAGAGGAUUCUUGGGUCGUCUGAACUACAUCUCCCGGUUUAUCUCUCAACUAACUGCAAUUUGUGAACCCAUAUUCAAGUUAUUAAGGAAGAAUCAAGCGGUGACAUGGAAUGAAGACUGCCAAACAACUUUCGAAAAAAUCAAGCAAUACUUGGACAGAACCUCCGAUAUUGAUGCCUCCAGUCCCAGGUCGACCCCUAAUCCUGUAUCUAACAGUGCUGGAUGAGUCCAUGGGUUGUAUUCUAGGACAACAUGAUUACUUAGGGAAGAAAGAGCAGAUCAUUUAUUACCUGAGCAAGAAAUUCACUGAUUGUGAGAAGAGGUAUUCUCUGCUGGAACGCACUUGUUGUGCCUUGGCAAGGGAUCGUAAUACAUGUUGAGCCACACUACUUGGUUGGUAUCUAAAAUGGAUCCAAUUAAAUACAUAUUUGAGAAGCCUAUUAUGACGGGGAGAAUUGCCAGAUGGCAGGUGCUUCUAUCCGAGUAUGAUAUCGUGUAUGUCACCCAGAAGGCAAUAAAAGGAAGUGUCCUCGCCGAUUACCUUGCCAGCCAACCGGUAGACAAAGGGGAUUUGAUUAAUGAGGAAUUCCCUGAUGAAGGGAUUAUGAUGAUAUCUCUAGGCAUGGAAACAGAAGGAGAUAGAUGGACUCUUGUGUUUGACGGGGCUUCCAAUAUACUCGGACACGGAAUAGGGGCAGUAUUGAUCUCCCCGGAGAAUAAAUUCAUCCCGAUUACUGCUCGACUAUGCUUUGACUGCACCAACAACAUCACGGAGUAUGAGGCAUGUGUCUUGGGUUUGGAGGCGGCCUUGGAGUCAAGAAUUAAAUCCAUAGAAGUAUUCGGAGACUCUGCUCUAGUGAUUCAUCAAGUAAAAGGGGAAUGGGAGACCAGAGAUUCUAAGUUGAUACCAUAUAGAGAUCAUAUCCAAAAGUUGAUCGAUCGAUUCGAGGAAAUAGACUUUUACCAUAUCCCAAGGGAAGAUAAUCGGUUGGCUGAUGCUUUGGCAACUUUGUCCUCCAUGUUCCAGAUAGGUGAAAAGGAAAUGCUAGUUAUCAGAAUAGCAAGCAAAGAUCAGCCUGCAUACUGCUAUGAGUAAAGAGUAUCAUGACAUAAUGACAUACCUCAAGAGCAAAGAGUAUCCUUCCGAGGCCACGGAAAAUGAUAAAAGGACUCUACGAAGGUUAGUUAUGGGCUUCUUUCUAAACGAAAACGUGUUGUACAAAAGAAACCAUGACAUGAUGCUACUGAGGUGUGUGGAAGCCAAGGAAGCAGAGAAGAUCAUCCAGGAAAUACAUGAAGGAAUGUUUGGGACCCAUACGAAUGGGCACUCAAUGGCUCGGAAAAUCCUGAGAACAGGCUAUUUCUGGUUAACAAUGGAAAGUGAUUGUUGCGAUCAUGUACGAAAAAGUCACAAAUGCCAGAUUUAUGCUGAUAAUAUUAAUGCAUCUCCCAGCCUGCUAAAUGUUAUGUCUUCCCCAUGGUCGUUUUCUAUGUGGGGUAUGGACGUUAUCAGUCCGAUCGAACCAAAGGCUUCCAACGGUCACCGCUUCAUCUUGGUUGCAAUCGACUAUUUCACCAAGUGGGUCGAGGCGAACUCAUACGCAAGCGUAACUCGUAACGUGGUACUCAAGUUUAUAAAAAAGGAGUUGAUUUGCCGCUAUGGUUUGCCUCAGAAAAUUAUCACAGAUAAUGCUACCAAUCUCAACAACAAGAUGAUGACGGAGAUGUGUGAGGAAUUCAAAAUCAAACAUCACACUUCUUCGCCUUACAGACCUAAGAUGAACGGGGCAGUGGAGGCAGCAAAUAAAAAUAUAAAGAAGAUAGUCCAGAAAAUGAUGGUGACCUACAGAGAUUGGCAUGAUAUAUUACCAUAUGCACUUCAUGGUUAUCGGACUUCUGUCCGCACAUCAACUGGGGCAACACCCUACUCGCUGGUUUAUGGGGUGGAAGCAGUGCUGCCGAUAGAAGUCGAAAUCCCGUCACUAGGAGUGCUCGCUGAAGCUGAAUUAGAAGAGGCAGAAUGGGUCCAAGCUCGACAUGGUCAGUUGAAUCUUAUUGAAGGGAAGAGGUUGGCAGCCAUAUGUCAUGGUCAAUUAUACCAGAGGAGGAUCAUGAGGGCACAUGCUAAGAAGGUACGCCCUCGAGCAUUCCGGGAAGGUGACUAGUACUGAAGAAGAUUUUACCUAUUCAGAAGGAUCACCGGGGAAAAUGGACACCCAAUUACGAAGGCCCGUAAGUGGUAAUGAAAGCGUUCUCAGGGGGAGCUCUCAUUCUGACCAACAUGGACGGAGAAGACCUUCGUCUCUCCGUAAACUCUGAUGCAGUGAAGAAGUACUAUGCUUGAGGCGACUUCCUAAAAAAAAAGAUGAAAAAAAAGAAAAAAACAAAAAAGAAGGAGAAAAAGAAACUCAAUUUCUUAGGAAUAUUAAUGUAAUGAACACGAUCGUUAUUUAUAAAAUUGCAUACAUGUUUUAAGCGAAAAUGGAGAAUGAUGUAGACAAAUUCCCUAAAGGUGUGAAUUCUCGAAUAAAUGUUUCCGAUGACACAAGGCUUCUUUGUAACUCCUAAACACUUAUGAAGAUAUCCCUAGUCACCCUAUUUUAGCCCAGACUUUAUGAAGAAUGAUCAAAAUAAAAACCCUAAAAAGACAUUAAUAACCGGGGAAGGGUAGUUUUUCCAAUAUUUCCUAUAAUUCAAAAGAACAAUGCUUCAAAUCAAGUAGUGAGAAUCUAGAAAUCUCAAAGUAGAAGAAAAAUGAGAAAGGUCCGCUAAGAUACUCAAGAGAUCUUAGGCAAAAAUUAGGACAAAAACACAUCAGAUCCUCACUUGUCAAUACUAAAACGAAGCAAUAAAAUCACGAGAGGAAUCAUUGGAAAUAGGAUAUCGGAGAAAAGGAGAUGUAGUGGGAAGGGAAACACAAUUUGAGCCUUAAUAUCCAUUUUUUUGUAAGCCAUUUAACCAGGCCACGAUUCAAGCCCAAAAAGUCCUUGUUGAGGAAUAAUUUGUUUGGAACCAUGCUAGGGUAAAAAGCAAACUGACUCCAGAAGGAAACGUUUUAAGUGCACUCAUAUUUUGUAAACCAAAACUCGCACAAAGUGAUAAUUACGUUAAUAUUUCUAAAAAAUAAAAAGAAAAAGAACAUCCUGGUAGGUCGAAAACCUGAAAGGGCGGCCUAGGCAAAAGUUAGGGAUUAUCAUUAAAGAAAGUCGUUCUCAAUCGGAAGAAUGAUCACUCAGGAAGACAUCAAAGUAAGAUACUGGGGGCAGGUUCAUUGGAUGAGUAGUCUCACCCANNNNNNNNNNNNNNNNNNNNNNNNNNNNNNNNNNNNNNNNNNNNNNNNNNNNNNNNNNNNNNNNNNNNNNNNNNNNNNNNNNNNNNNNNNNNNNNNNNNNAAAAAAAACUCGUUCAAAUCUAUACCUCCACAUGUUAAUAUAAAGUCAUACCUUGUUCAUUAUCCCUCAUAUAUUAAUGCAUGAGUUGUUUUUGUGAAAAUACACUGAUGAAUAAUAAUAUGACCUUUUGCGAUAAUUAAUCAGAACAAGUAAUCGAGCAGCAUGGCCAUCCGUAAAGAAGAGCUGAAAUCAUGUCAAUAUAAAGCUUUAUUACUAGAGCUUCCACACCAAAUGAAAUUGGAACUUCAGAUUGUAAGGAUGCUCAAAAUCAAAUUCAAUGAUAACGGACUUGUAAAAUGAAAACAAUCAAGAUUUUCUCAAUAAAUGAUUCAAACAUUACAAGCAAAAAACCACACAUCAUGCAUUGCAUAUUCACAAACUAAAAAACAUCUGCAUUUACUUUUAUUGUCUCGAGUUCCGGCAGUACCUGACCAGCGUUCUCGCAAGUACUUUUAUUGUCUCGAGUUCCGGCAGUACCUGACCAGCGUUCUCGCAAGUACUUUUAUUGUCUCGAGUUCCGGCAGUACCUGACCAGCGUUCUCGCAAGUACUUUUAUUGUCUCGAGUUCCGGCAGUACCCGACCUGCGUUCUCGCAUUUACUUUUAUUGUCUCGAGUUCCGGCAGUACCCGACCUGCGUUCUCGCAUCUACUUUUAUUGUUCCGAGUUCCGGCAGUACCCGACCUGCGUUCUCGCAUUUACUUUCAUUGUCUCGAGUUCCGGGAGUACCCGACCUGUGACCUGCGUUCUCGCAGUUACUUUUAUUGUCUCGAGUUCCGGCAGUACCCGACCUGCGUUCUCGCAUUUACUUUCAUUGUCUCGAGUUGUGGUAGUACCCGACCUGCGUUCUCGCAUUUACUUUCAUUGUCUCGAGUUCCGGGAGUACCCGACCUGUGUUCUCGCAUUUACUUUUAUUGUCCCGAGUUCCGGCAGUACCCGACCUGCGUUCUCGCAUUUACUUUUAUUGUCCCGAGUUCCGGCAGUACCCGGCCUGCGUUCUCGCAUUUAUCUUUUUAUUAUUUCGAGUUCCAGCAGCAUCCGACCUGCGUCCUCGCAUUACCUUUUGUUAUUAUCAAGUUCCAGCAGUACCCAACCUGCGUUCUCACUUUACCAAUUAUCUCUAUCUCACUUAAGGUUGUAUAGUUUCUUUCGCCCAUUUGUACCAAAAUUGACGUUCAUUUCUUUACUAACUGCUUACAGAAAUAGCAACCAAUCCUCAGUUUGUCUACUACUUAGUAAGCAAUGAGUAAAGAGGGGCAGUUGUGAACACUCAAUUUUUGUCCUACCCAAUUUCACAGUCUCCUUGCAUCGGUUGACUCAUAAGAGUUUCCCUGAUCAGUAGACAUUCAAUUUGUUAAGAGUUUAUCAUCUUGUAUGUUCAUUAUUAUUUUUUUGUGUGUGCUCAUCAGACCGAUCAUAAGUCUUGUAAUGUUGAAAGUGCAAGCACGUUACCCAUGAUUAAGUUGAUAUAGGUAAUGAUUUUUAACACAAGCCUUAGACAAAAGAUGUGAAGAUCUUAAAUAUGAUUUUUAUGAAGAACUUGUAAUUCACAGAUUCCCUGAACUUUGUUUUAAAGAUUAGAUUAAGGAAUGAAUUCGUCUCACAGGAUUGUAAGAGUCAAAGCGUGAGUGCUCACAUUUUUAUAUGAAGGACAAUCUAUACCCGUCAAUCCUUGGUCUUAAUAUGGCAAGAAAAAUAAUAGAGUACCUGCAUAUUCAAAAUAGAAAGUGAAGUUCAAGAUCUUUAAGUGGAAAAUUGUCUCACUGGGAGAACAAUCCUAAUUUCCAUUUAAUCCCAAAUAUCUGUCAGUUGUUUAAGUUUGAAAAUAAGCAUGUCAAUUUUGCUGAAAAUAAUACAUUUUAUGUUCUGGUUGGCGAUUCUAAUGUGAGACCAAAGAUAGUCGGCAAUCAAUAUGGAGAAGGCCCAUCCUUUGUGCUUGUCUNNNNNNNNNNNNNNNNNNNNNNNNNNNNNNNNNNNNNNNNNNNNNNNNNNNNNNNNNNNNNNNNNNNNNNNNNNNNNNNNNNNNNNNNNNNNNNNNNNNNUUCAUUCAAUUUUUAUAAUCAAUCUUCAGUUCAUGUGUCAAUACCUUAUGAGAAAGAGAUAGAUGCUUCUAAUGUUGACUAAAUAAAGUUUAAAACCGUGUCCAAGAAUAAGCAAAAUUUCAAAACAACAUGCUUCAACUCAAUUACUUAUAAGGUGUCGACCUCUUAUACACCACCCUGCACUGGUAAUGGAAUAGUAUCCAGUUUUUUACAUGAGAAAUAAGGUAUUCAUCGCAAAACAGAAACGAUAAAUAGUGGUACCUGAGCAAUAUGCUUAACAAGGAUCAGUUUAAUCAUUACAAAUGAUGCAUACCAUCCUUGCUUUAGACCAUAAUAUUUCCAAGAGCCCUUCGGCAUCAUCAUCAAUAUAGAAGAGGGUAUCCAUGGGCAGUCCGACAUCAGAACAAAAGGGAAAUUAAUCAGGGAGUUAGGCCAAACACUAGAUAGAGGACAUUAAGCUAAUAAAAGGCUGUAAAGAGAUGGCAUCAGGAAUGGCCUAUGCUGUUACAGAUUUCAAAUAAAAUCAUUAAGCCAACCCAGCCAUGGACUAUCAGUUAAUAAAAUCUCAUAGGACAGCACUAAGCAGAAGUAAUACGAAAUUAUUAUCCUCCAGUUACACUUUGAGGCAUUAAUGCAAUGAUAUUAGAGGAAAAUAAAAUGCUAUCGAUAGUAAGGGCUAUCAAUCAACAAAAUUUCAAAAGGGUUGCACUAAACAGUUACAUUCUGAAGUAAUAACAGAGCAAUAAAGUAUGAAAUUCAAAUCAGUCGGGGGUUACAAAUCAGUGUAGAAAAACAGUAAGGUACUAAGGCAAAGGGAAAUACAAUCAGCCGUGAAUAAUAUCCAGAGAGCAGUUUAGAGCAUUAAUAUUUUAAUUACGGUCAUCAUUAGCAAAUUGUAAAUAGCUCGACAGUUAUCACAUAGUCCUAAUCAGCAUUCAUAGGCAGUUAAAGUAUUGAAAUCAGAAAGCAAAAUUCAUGGGAUUUCAAAAGGGGCAGUUUCAGUCAGUAACUCAAAAGGUUUUUGCAUUGACUCAUACUCAGCUAUAAAUAGCAGCUCCAUUCAUAACCAGAGGAACAUUGAUACACACAUACAUUCAGCCAAAAAAGCAAAAGAGAAAGAAUACAAAAAAGAAAGAAAAGCAUUGCAAUAGUGAUAAAAAGAGAACAAAUCAGAAAAAUUAGAGAGGAUAACAAGUGAAAAACAGGGAGCAUUCUAUAGAGAAAGGCAGAAAUAUAAACAGAGAGAGUGACAUUCAAGCAAACUUAAUCCAAAAUAGACUUACGUUUCACAAGCAUUACAAAGUGGUAGAACCCGUAUCAUACGACAGGAAGCAUAUAUUCAGGUAACCAUUCAAACGAAAUAGGUAUCAUAACAUGUCUUAUUUUAGGUGAUUUAUGCAUCGAAGUUAUAGGAAUAAAUUAUAAACCGAUUUAAUCGGCCAUUUCGCAGAAACUCACAUAAGUAUAAUAGGCUAGAAUAUAAAAUAGAGCAUGAACGAAAUUGGUUUUAAUCUAUGUAUUUCCACCAGUUAAAGAGAUUUGUUUUAGUCCAUGUAUUCCCACCAGUUAAAGACCAAACACUCAUCGAUGUUGACAUAACAGAUUAAAUUCAUGCUCUAAAAUCAAAUAGAAAGGAUAAAAGAUCAAAGAGGGAUACCGAAGUAGAAAAAUGCGAUUUCCAUUCUCGAUGUCAUCUUGUUAUCCGAUGCAAACCGUAGUACGAGUAGUAACCAGAACCGGGAACCACCGUGAAGGUUCGGGUCCCGCCGAUGAAAACCGCACUCGAUCCUUUCCUCGCCCUUAAUAAGCCUCUACGAGGACAGGAAGUUAUAAAAAUGAUAAAAAAUGUAUAAUAAUAGAACAAAGAAGCAAAUGGAGAAGUAAGAGGAGACGAGUGAUGAAAACCAAAGAGAUUAGGAAGGAAUGAGGACCUUUUUUCGGCCGUGAAUGAGAACCGAACCACCGUAAGUCGCGAGGAUUCUUAAUCACCACUAUCGCAACGCUUCAAGCCGAGUCAUCACCGAAGAAGAGAAAAGAGGGAGAUUUCGUUCGAUGCAUCUCGAAGAGAAAGGGAUUCUCUUCGUCGAUCCCCUCCAACACGGGCUGGAAGGCUUCCUCUAGCUAAAUCCGUGA